This 240-nucleotide unclassified non-coding RNA is filed under the name soil metagenome. RNAcentral's name for it is "partial contains 5.8S ribosomal RNA, internal transcribed spacer 2, and large subunit ribosomal RNA". The record is from RNAcentral.
AACCAUAGAAACCUGCGGAGUACCUGCGGAGGGAUCAUUACAGAGUUGCAAAACUCCCUAAACCAUUGUGAACGUUACCUAAACCGUUGCUUCGGCGGGCGGCCCGGGUCCUUCCCGGCGCCCCUCGGCCCUCGCGGGCGCCCGCCGGAGGUAAACCAAACUAUUGCAUUUGUAUGGCCUCUCUGAGUCUUCUGUACUGAAUAAGUCAAAACUUUUAGCAACGGAUCUCAGAUCGGAAGA